CUGAUUGCACCAAGAAAUAGUUGAUGCAAUAUUGACUAUGUCGAAUAAAAUUCUGGGUAAGAUUAUGAUAAUGACAUUGUUUGCCCAUGUGUCUUGACCAAAUUACGUGCCAGCAGUCGCGGUAAUACGUAGAAGACUAGUGUUAUUCAUCUUUAAUAGGUUUAAAGGGUACCUAGACGGUAAAUCAAGCCUAGUUAGGGACUAAUUUACUAGAGUUACUUAUGAGGGGGUAUUAAAGUACUGCUGGUGUAGAGAUGAAAUUUUUUCAUACCUCUUUUCGUAUGAAAAAUAAUGGCACAGGUAUAGGCGAAAGCAUCCCCUUAUGUGAUAACUGACGUUGAAGGACGAAGGCUUUGUGUCGCGAACAGGAUUAGAUACCCCAGUAGUCAAAGCAGAAAAUGAUGAAUGUCAUAGAUUAGAUUUAAUAUAUUUUAUUCUAUAAAUGAAAGUGUAAGCAUUCCACCUCAAGAGUAAUUUGGCAACAUUGGAACUGAAAUCAUUAGACCGUUUCUGAAACCAGUAGUGAAGUAUGUUGUUUAAUUUGAUAUUCCGCAAAAAACCUUACCACAAUUUGGAUAUUUAUAUCGCCUUUCCUUUUUUUAUGUGAUAAAUUAUUGGAUAAAAAAAGGAAAAAGGUAUUUUUACAAGCGUUGCACGGCUGUCUUUAGUUAAUGUCGUGAGACUAUGGUUAGUUCCAUUAAAUUAACGUAAACCCUUACUUUAUUUUUUAUAUAAAGUUGUUCCCCGCUAUAUUGGAUAUGAUAACAGGGAUUAAGACAAGUCAUCAUGGCCUAA
This 795-nucleotide ribosomal RNA is filed under the name Lecanora cadubriae. RNAcentral describes it as "partial small subunit ribosomal RNA". It matches the Rfam family "Bacterial small subunit ribosomal RNA", at positions 399 to 1203 of the family's 1533-position model. The record is from RNAcentral. Lineage: Eukaryota; Fungi; Ascomycota; Lecanoromycetes; Lecanorales; Lecanoraceae.